CUAGACACAUGGAGUUUUAUUACUUCCAUCCACCUCUACAUUAAAGUCUCCAACAGUGAAGAUGAAAACAAAGGAAGAAAACAAAAGGAGAAUACAAUGACAAUGAUUUUUGAAAAGCAAUAAGGUGGUCAUUUCCCCCUCAUUUGCUUUCCAUAAAAAGAUAAUGGCUUCCCUUGUUUCUGGUCUGGUAACAUUAGCAGACCAGCUUGUAAUGGUAAGACUGGAAGAUGUUUCCUUCAAGUUUUGAUGCUCAGUGAUGGCUUUGAAAUAUCUACAGACUCUGUCCCAGUACCAGGUUUCCUAUUAAGUGAAUACACUUAUUUGCCCAUGACAUAAAAAUUGCCCAAGGAUUGUUGUUUGGUUCUGAUGCCAAUCAUAAUUAUCAACACAGCGCCAUGAUUUAAUCACCACUGAAUUAUGUACACGAGUUCCUAGUUCCAUGGAACACAAAAAACAAUGGUCCUCAGUAAUAUUUUCUACAACCUCAUAAGUCUUUAGUUACAUCAGCAAGUUGGAUACAGUUGGAAUUGUCCAGAAGACAAAGAGGAAGAACAGAUCGAGACAUAGUGUCCUUUACAGUUCCCAGGCAGUUGUUGGAGACACAUUCCACAUCAGGGACACCGCAUUUCUUCCACUGGGUUCAUCACACCAGAUCAGGCGCAGCAAUUUCUGAGACUUAAAAUCAAUGGCUAGUACUGCCCAGAACUCAGUGGA
RNAcentral lists this long non-coding RNA (714 nucleotides) under Monodelphis domestica (gray short-tailed opossum). RNAcentral describes it as "lncRNA (ENSMODG00000037497.1)". Lineage: Eukaryota; Metazoa; Chordata; Mammalia; Didelphimorphia; Didelphidae. The record is from RNAcentral.